Long non-coding RNA from Pseudoliparis swirei, 626 nucleotides. RefSeq lists it as uncharacterized. The transcript has 5 exons. The record is from RefSeq and is a predicted model, not a curated record. Lineage: Eukaryota; Metazoa; Chordata; Actinopteri; Perciformes; Liparidae.
CGGCACUUUCUUAAGAUCGUGGAACUGUGAUGGUCGCGUUUUACACACACACACACACACACACACACACACACACACACACACACACACACACUUUGCGUGCAGAGAAAGAGAAACACUUGUGCCUGGACGACUUCUGCAUUAAGGACGUGGCACUAAGGAGGAUUGUCCAGCCGCAGAUGACGCUGAAGAACCGUUACAUGCCGCUAACACCUGUCUGCUUCAGCAGCUUGGUUGAAAUGGAGAAACUUGUUCCAUCCCAUCAUCUUAGCCCUAAGGACUCCAAACAAAGAAACCGACUGGAACGUGGCCAGACGCCUGCUUCCUCCAAGAUAAAUCUGCUUAAACACCAGGUAGCAACACCACGUGCGGAGGGCUCUUCGGGAUCGUCUUCCGUUGGUGUUGACAACGUGUCUGCGCGGCAAGAGGUUGGAUGAUGCACUGUGCCCAACUAAUCAUACACGUGAUGCCUUGAGAGGUCGGGGUCAGAUUGUGAGUACUCCUCUGUUUUCCUGAUCCGAUGUGAGGUCAAAGGUCAGGGAUGUCUGUGUCCAGAUUGUAAUGCACUCCGAGACAAAUUUGUAAAUUGUGAAAAUGGGCUAUACAAAUAAACUGAAUUGAAUUGA